This 453-nucleotide long non-coding RNA is filed under the name Sarcophilus harrisii (Tasmanian devil). RNAcentral describes it as "lncRNA (ENSSHAG00000023921.1)". Lineage: Eukaryota; Metazoa; Chordata; Mammalia; Dasyuromorphia; Dasyuridae. The record is from RNAcentral.
UUCCACAAUAACAGAAGAAUCCAACAACUGUCAUGAUGUUCUCAUCCUCGAACAAGCUGCUCCAUGUUCAGGCCAUGUAGUCUGUCUCCCUGCACUGUGCUCUGGAUACCCAAGAGGCUCCUGGUCCUGUGGCUUUCUUGUGGACUCUGCUGCUCAUCUCCUGUGUCACUGAGAGCUGAAAUUGUGGAUCACCCUCUUGUCCUGAACAUUCUCGCCUUUCUUCAUUUCUAUGACAAUGCUCACUCCUGUGACUACCUGUGUCUGUCCACUUCUCAGUCUACUUAGCCAGAUUAUUAUCUGCCUCCAACCCUGAAAUCCAAGAAACAUUGAUAAGCACAGUGGUAUGACAAGAAAGGACAACUUCUAGUUCAACUUUAUACAGAAUUAAUUGGAGCAUGAAUUUAGAUAAUAUGGAUUUACCAAUAAUCUACUGCAUUAUAAUCAAAUUUAGAG